GUCUAUGGGCAUACCACCCUGAACAUGCCCGAUCUUGUCUGAUCUCGGAAGCUAGGCAGGGUCGGGCCUGGUUAGUACUUGGAUGGGAGAUGGGAAUACCGGACCACCUUACCU
Molecule: ribosomal RNA, 114 nt
Filed under: Bos mutus (wild yak)
Lineage: Eukaryota; Metazoa; Chordata; Mammalia; Artiodactyla; Bovidae
Source: RNAcentral